RNAcentral lists this ribosomal RNA (505 nucleotides) under uncultured bacterium. RNAcentral describes it as "partial 16S ribosomal RNA". It matches the Rfam family "Bacterial small subunit ribosomal RNA", at positions 29 to 523 of the family's 1533-position model. The record is from RNAcentral.
AGUGAACGCUGGCGGUAGGCCUAACACAUGCAAGUCGAACGGCAGCACAGAGGAGCUUGCUCCUUGGGUGGCGAGUGGCGGACGGGUGAGGAAUACAUCGGAAUCUACUCUGUCGUGGGGGAUAACGUAGGGAAACUUACGCUAAUACCGCAUACGACCUACGGGUGAAAGCAGGGGAUCUUCGGACCUUGCGCGAUUGAAUGAGCCGAUGUCGGAUUAGCUAGUUGGCGGGGUAAAGGCCCACCAAGGCGACGAUCCGUAGCUGGUCUCAGAGUAUGAUCAGCCACACUGGAACUAAGACACGGUCCAGACUCCUACGGGAGGCAACAGUGGGGAAUAUUGGACAAGGGGGGCAAGCCUGAUCCAGCCAUACCGCGUGGGUGAAGAAGGCCUUCGGGUUGUAAAGCCCUUUUGUUGGGAAAGAAAUCCAUCUGGUUAUACCCGGGUGGGAUGACGGUACCCAAAGAAUAAGCACCGGCUAACUUCGUGCCAGCAGCCGCCGUAA